This is a long non-coding RNA of Oncorhynchus keta (chum salmon), 2015 nucleotides long. RefSeq lists it as uncharacterized. The record is from RefSeq and is a predicted model, not a curated record. Lineage: Eukaryota; Metazoa; Chordata; Actinopteri; Salmoniformes; Salmonidae. The transcript has 4 exons.
GUUCAGUUCCCUCUUUGUUAAUGUUUCACAGAUGGUGGCCCUCACUGUGCUGAUGCAUUUUGGCCGCUCGGAUAUUGAUAUACACGAGUAUAAUUAACAUUUUCUCUCACCCCAGGUCGUCUCCAUGAACAAGGUCAGUUUCAGAUCGAGAUCAGAUGGAGUCUCAGGGAGAGAGGCUGGCGGGGACAGGAGUCGUGCCAAGAAGGCAGUAAACGACAAAGGCUCUCGCAGAACUCCUGCUUGAGUCAUGCUUAUUUUGGAUGUGUCCGAAGAGUUCUCAGUAGUCUUGAAAGAACCAUAAAUCCAUAGAAUGCCAGACUUUGAUGACAAAUUAGAUGACAAAAUUUUCCCACAAGGACCACCGCUCCACCUUCCUGUGGUGAGCACAUCACAACAAGGACCUCAAGUCACAUUAGAACGUAUGGACUCCGCCAUUGAGAAGAGAAGAGGAGACAGAGGACAGUCUUGCCGGGUUCCUCUACUCAGGAGAAAUUCUUGGGAACUUAAACCUUUGGUUGGAGACCAUAACUCUGGGACUGGUAAUAAAUCACUUUGACCCAUUUGUUGAAAUUAGCAUCCAUAUUACAUUUUUUGCAAAACAGAGAAUAGAAAAUUCCAUUCCACUCUGUCGAACGCCUUCUCAGCAUCAGCAUCAACAGUAUAGAAGCAGUCUUGUGCUCAUUUACAUGGUUGAUAACAUCAAACGGUCAUCUGACAAUAUCCGAUGAGUACCUGUUUUUUAAUCAGUGGUGUAAAGUACUUAAGUCGUUUUUUGGGUUAUCUGUUCGAUUUACUAUUUAUAUUUUUGACAACUUUUACUUUACUGCAUUCCUAAAAAUAAAAAAUAUUGCACUUUUUACUCCAAACAUUAUCCCUGCCAACCAAAAGUACUUUGGAACAGGGAAAUGAUCAAAUUCUCGCACUUAUCAAGAGAACUCUGGCCUGGCAGACUCACUAAACACAAAUGCAUCUUUUGUAAAUAAUGUCUGAGUGUUGGAGUGUACCCCUGGCUAUCCUUACGUUUUAAAAACAAGAAAAUGUUGCUGUCUUGUAAAUGUUUAUACUUUCACUUUUAAUACUUAAGUAUAUUUCAGCAAUUACAUUAUGGUUUCCUAUUGGAUAUUGAUAGUAUAAUUUAAAACAACUGAUAUUCCCAUUCAAGUCAACACUCUCUGAUGUGUGGACCAACCAUCUUUAUGCUACCAUUUGAAAUGUGAAAUGUCCAUUUUAUUCCCAUUUCAAUACAUUUACCAGCCAGAACAUGACAUCCACCAGCCAGAACAUGACAUCCACCAGCCAGAACAUGACAUCCACCAGCCAGAACAUGACAUCCACCAGCCAGAACAUGACAUCCACCAGCCAGAACAUGACAUCCACCAGCCAGAACAUGACAUCCACCAGCCAGAACAUGACAUCCACCAGCCAGAACAUGACAUCCACCAGCCAGAACAUGACAUCCACCAGCCAGAACAUGACAUCCACCCUGUAUUCAAGAGCACGCUGUGUCUCAUCCAAUGGAGGGCACAACAGUAACACCUCAGAUUAUGUCAAAUAGGGCCAAAGCUACAACAUAUGCAAAAAUGGAAAAAAACAUCUGAUUCCACACGUUUUUAGACAAUAUAAUAAAGGUUAAAAAACGACAUACUUGUUAUGAAAACUGUUUUUUUUUUCAAGAAAUUAUCAAAUAGUUUAGCAACCCUUUUUGUAAACGUUUUCAAAUUGAAGUGAUGAAGACAUGGAUGUCUCAUGUUAGGGUCGGGUAUGCAAAAUGAGUCAACUUUGAGCACCUCUAUCUCCUAAAUGUUUUGACAUUCAGGUCCAAAAAGUUACUUUCUGACCACUUCUAACAUGGGCAAAAUUGUAUGGAAAGUUUUGUUCAAUAACACCCUUUGGAGCAAUCGUCUUUUACUGUUAAAAAUAAAAUUUUGUAAAGUAUCACACUUGGUGUUCCUUCUACGCCCCCUGCUGGCGGCAACAGGCAUAAACAAUUCCCAAUGGAAAUCGUUCGAGGACUC